AAAAUGGCGUUUCUCCGCCGCGACGCGAAAGCCAAAGCAGCUCGCGCUUGCAACGCCACCAAGAUACUGUAAUAAUUUUUAU
Molecule: non-coding RNA, 82 nt
Organism: Ixodes scapularis (black-legged tick)
Lineage: Eukaryota; Metazoa; Arthropoda; Arachnida; Ixodida; Ixodidae
Source: Rfam